CUCACAUUAUCUAUAUAGUUGUUAAUCUUAAAUUCCCACAUAUCUGUGUUCCAACUCAAAUUCCACUGGUCAAGAUCUAAACCAGAAAAUCAAAAAUUUAAUGGUACGAGAAUAUGUCCUUUAUGUUGCAAGAGGAUAGUUUUUGAUACUUUUUUUCUCGU
This 161-nucleotide unclassified non-coding RNA is filed under the name Bovine orthopneumovirus. The record is from RNAcentral. Lineage: Riboviria; Orthornavirae; Negarnaviricota; Monjiviricetes; Mononegavirales; Pneumoviridae.